UAAGGAAUAUUGGUCAAUGGGCGGAAGCCUGAACCAGCCAUGCCGCGUGCAGGAAGACGGCCCUACGGGUUGUAAACUGCUUUUGCAGGGGAAUAAACCCCCGAUCGUAAUCGGGGCUGAAUGUACCUUGAGAAUAAGGAUCGGCUAACUCCGUGCCAGCAGCCGCGGUAAUACGGAGGAUCCGAGCGUUAUCCGGAUUUAUUGGGUUUAAAGGGUGCGUAGGCGGCCUGGUAAGUCAGGGGUGAAAUACGGCAGCUUAACUGUCGCAGUGCCUUUGAUACUGCCGGGCUUGAAUGUACUUGAGGUAGGCGGAAUGUGACAAGUAGCGGUGAAAUGCAUAGAUAUGUCACAGAACACCAAUUGCGAAGGCAGCUUACUAAAGUAUGAUUGACGCUGAGGCACGAAAGCGUGGGGAUCAAACAGGAUUAGAUACCCCCGUAGUCC
RNAcentral lists this ribosomal RNA (444 nucleotides) under uncultured bacterium. RNAcentral's name for it is "bacterial SSU rRNA". It matches the Rfam family "Bacterial small subunit ribosomal RNA", at positions 355 to 796 of the family's 1533-position model. The record is from RNAcentral.